Molecule: long non-coding RNA, 214 nt
Filed under: Nicotiana benthamiana
Lineage: Eukaryota; Viridiplantae; Streptophyta; Magnoliopsida; Solanales; Solanaceae
Description: long non-coding RNA (NBEN_LNC028853)
Source: RNAcentral
UCCGGAAAUGAUUUUUUGAACGUUGCCAAGUAAUCGAUUGUAGAUUUAUGACAAUCGAUUGUCUUACGUAAAAUCUGAAAAUGAUUUUUUGAGCGUUGCCAGCAAUCGAUUAUUGAUCUUAGUUAAUCGAUUGUUAAGCGUAAAAUCUGGAUUGAUUUUUGGAAGAACUGGCAAACAAUCGAUUGUGGUACUUUGACAAUCGAUUGUCACUNNN